This is a non-coding RNA of Bryopsis sp. KO-2023, 109 nucleotides long. Lineage: Eukaryota; Viridiplantae; Chlorophyta; Ulvophyceae; Bryopsidales; Bryopsidaceae. The record is from the annotation of a GenBank genome assembly.
CUUGAUUCUAAUAGGAAAGUGUGUAACACCCGAUCCCUUUUCGAAUUCGAUUUGUGAAACCACUAGCCGCUGCAUGUACUACAAGUGUGGGAGACGCAGUAGAGUCAAG